GACGGAGGGUGCAAACGUUGUUCGGAAUCACUGGGCAUAAAGCGCACGUAGGCGGUUCGUCAAGUCAGGUGUGAAAUCCCCCGGCUCAACCGGGGAACUGCAUUUUGAUACUGGCGGGCUCGAGGAUGGUAGGGGUGAGCGGAACUCCAGGUGGAGCGGUGAAAUGCGUAGAUAUCUGGAGGAACACCGGUGGCGAAGGCGGCUCACUGGACCAUAUCUGACGCUGAGGUGCGAAAGCCAGGGUAGCAAACGGG
This 254-nucleotide ribosomal RNA is filed under the name uncultured bacterium. RNAcentral describes it as "partial 16S ribosomal RNA". It matches the Rfam family "Bacterial small subunit ribosomal RNA", at positions 524 to 776 of the family's 1533-position model. The record is from RNAcentral.